Molecule: unclassified non-coding RNA, 256 nt
Filed under: uncultured fungus
Lineage: Eukaryota; Fungi
Description: partial contains 5.8S ribosomal RNA, internal transcribed spacer 2, and large subunit ribosomal RNA
Source: RNAcentral
AACGCACAUUGCGCCCGUUAGUAUUCUAGUAGGCAUGCCUGUUCGAGCGUCAUUUCAACCCUCAAGUCUGCCGUGACUUGGUGUUAGGAACCUAAACGCCCCGGCGUCUUAGGCCCUGAAAGCUAUUGGCGAGCUAUUCAUAGGCUCCGAGCGCAGUAAAAAUACCUCGCUUAGGGCGCCAUGCGUGUGCUAGCCUACACCCCCCAACUAUCAGAAGUUUGACCUCGGAUCAGGUAGGAAUACCCGCUGAACUUAA